Molecule: long non-coding RNA, 882 nt
Filed under: Ananas comosus (pineapple)
Lineage: Eukaryota; Viridiplantae; Streptophyta; Magnoliopsida; Poales; Bromeliaceae
Description: long non-coding RNA (ACOM_LNC007534)
Source: RNAcentral
UUUUAAAGUUGAAAUGCGUUAUUUAUCUUUACAAAUUUAAUUAGUAAAAUUUCAUGCAAUUCUCACAACUAAAAUUCAUUAAAGUAAGUGAUAGCUUUAAUUUUUACGUUAAAAUGUUGUUAAUUAACUCAUGUCAAACAAAUUAAAAGGAUCGAUGGGUAGUAAAAUCAAAAUUAUGAAAGGUUGAGUAAACGAUUCAAAAUGGUUUAUAGUUCAAAUAAAUUUUGUAUGUUUUUACAGAUUUAGUUAAUAUAUUUUAUGCAAUUUUGGCAACUAUAAAUGAAUUAAAGUAGGUAGCUUAAAUUUUUAGAUUAAAGUGUUGUCGACUGCUCAAAUCAAACAAAUUAAAGGUUGAGUAGUUAAAUUGAAAUUAUAAAGAGUUAAGGAAUCGAUUCAAAAUGGUUUACAGUUUAGAUAAUUCUUGCAUGUUUUUACUUUCGUAAAUUUUCAUGAGGGUUUUCUUAUUGCCAACAAUCUUUUUAAUGUUAUAUUCUACAAGUAAAAACGUACAAAAUUUGUCUGAACUAUGGAUCAUUUUUAAUCAACUGUCCAAUCUUUCAAACUUUUGAUUUACUACCCAACCAUUCAAUUUGUUUGAUUUGAAUUAGUCAACUGCAUUUUGAUUUCAAAAUUUAAAUUACUUGCUUUAAUAAAUUUAUAGUUGUCAGAAUUGCUUGAAAUAUACUAACUAAACUUGUAAACAUAACCGUUGAUUUCAAAUUUGACAUUAAAGUGUUGUUAAUUGAUUCAAAUCAAACAAAUUGAAAGAUUAUAUAGUAAAAUUAAAUUUUUAAAAGAUUGGGUAGUCAAUUUAAAAUGAUUUAUUAUUCAGAUAAGUUCUAUAUAUUUUUGCCUAUUAUAAAAGGAAUAAGGAGACAGAUA